GCCAGGAUGGCGGAAUAGGCAUACGCGUCGGUUUCAAAAACCGAUGGGCACUCCAAGCCCGUGCGGGUUCGAGUCCCGCUCCUGGCACCA
Molecule: transfer RNA, 90 nt
Filed under: Candidatus Brocadiaceae bacterium
Lineage: Bacteria; Pseudomonadati; Planctomycetota; Candidatus Brocadiia; Candidatus Brocadiales; Candidatus Brocadiaceae
Description: tRNA-Leu
Rfam family: tRNA
About the family: Transfer RNA (tRNA) molecules are approximately 80 nucleotides in length. Their secondary structure includes four short double-helical elements and three loops (D, anti-codon, and T loops). Further hydrogen bonds mediate the characteristic L-shaped molecular structure. tRNAs have two regions of fundamental functional importance: the anti-codon, which is responsible for specific mRNA codon recognition, and the 3' end, to which the tRNAs corresponding amino acid is attached (by aminoacyl-tRNA synthetases). tRNAs cope with the degeneracy of the genetic code in two manners: having more than one tRNA (with a specific anti-codon) for a particular amino acid; and 'wobble' base-pairing, i.e. permitting non-standard base-pairing at the 3rd anti-codon position.
Source: RNAcentral